GACGAACGCUGGCGGCGUGCUUAACACAUGCAAGUCGAACGGAAAGGCCCUGCUUUUGUGGGGUGCUCGAGUGGCGAACGGGUGAGUAACACGUGAGUAACCUGCCCUUGACUUUGGGAUAACUUCAGGAAACUGGGGCUAAUACCGGAUAGGAGCUCCUGCUGCAUGGUGGGGGUUGGAAAGUUUCGGCGGUUGGGGAUGGACUCGCGGCUUAUCAGCUUGUUGGUGGGGUAGUGGCUUACCAAGGCUUUGACGGGUAGCCGGCCUGAGAGGGUGACCGGCCACAUUGGGACUGGGGAGCGGCCCAGACGCCUACGGGAGGCAGCAGUGGGGAAUAUUGCACAAUGGGCGGAAGCCUGAUGCAGCAACGCCGCGUGCGGGAUGACGGCCUUCGGGUUGUAAACCGCUUUCGCCUGUGACGAAGCGUGAGUGACGGUAAUGGGUAAAGAAGCACCGGCUAACUACGUG
RNAcentral lists this ribosomal RNA (468 nucleotides) under uncultured bacterium. RNAcentral describes it as "partial 16S ribosomal RNA". It matches the Rfam family "Bacterial small subunit ribosomal RNA", at positions 28 to 507 of the family's 1533-position model. The record is from RNAcentral.